CCAAUUCUUUACAAGCAUCAUUGC
RNAcentral lists this unclassified non-coding RNA (24 nucleotides) under Mus musculus (house mouse). Its description in RNAcentral is "oocyte_clustered_small_RNA7865". Lineage: Eukaryota; Metazoa; Chordata; Mammalia; Rodentia; Muridae. The record is from RNAcentral.